CUAAGUUUUAUUCUUCAGACACUGUGUUCUUGACAUUUUGUAAUCCGGAUUUCUCUUAAUCUAUUCAGUAUUCAGCAUUUGCUUUUGAUUUUGUUUACUGUUGUUCAUCCUGUUAUCAUCUUGCUAUUACUCUGUUGCUAUGAUGUUUUCAUUCAUGUCAUCGUUUAUGUUUUCUGCAAUGUUGUCUCAGUAGUGACUAGGUUUUUAAGGAUGGGUUAGAGUAGUUUAGAAUUCUAGGUCUAUUAGGUGGUUGAGUUUGAUUUCUAGAUCCCUUCUGGAUUAGUUUUUCUUAAUGCCUAUUGCUUUCUGAUCAACUGGAAUUUGAGCCCAGACAUUUCCGCACCCAAAAGGUGUUCGAUGAAAUGCCUGAACCACUAAUUCUAGAGAUCCGUGGCUCUGUACCAAGGUACUGG
This 413-nucleotide small RNA is filed under the name Arabidopsis thaliana (thale cress). RNAcentral describes it as "ATSL193910". The record is from RNAcentral. Lineage: Eukaryota; Viridiplantae; Streptophyta; Magnoliopsida; Brassicales; Brassicaceae.